GCGCGAAAACUUUACAAUGCGGGAAACCGUGAUAAGGGAACUCCGAGUGCCCGUAAAAUCGGGCUGUCCAUCUGUUUAAAUAACAGGUGAAGAAAGGGCCGGGCAAGACCGGUGCCAGCCGCCGCGGUAAUACCGGCGGCUCGAGUGGUGGCCACUAUUACUGGGCUUAAAGCGUUCGUAGCUGGUCUGUUAAGUCUCUGGGGAAAUCUACUGGCUUAACCAAUAGGCGUUUCAGGGAUACUGGCAGACUAGGGACCGGGAGAGGUGAGAGGUACUCCAGGGGUAGGAGUGAAAUCCUGUAAUCCUUGGGGGACCACCUGUGGCGAAGGCGUCUCACCAGAACGGCUCCGACAGUGAGGGACGAAAGCUGGGGGAGCAAACCGG
RNAcentral lists this ribosomal RNA (384 nucleotides) under uncultured bacterium. Its description in RNAcentral is "bacterial SSU rRNA". It matches the Rfam family "Archaeal small subunit ribosomal RNA", at positions 339 to 727 of the family's 1478-position model. The record is from RNAcentral.